RNAcentral lists this long non-coding RNA (779 nucleotides) under Apteryx rowi (Okarito brown kiwi). RNAcentral's name for it is "lncRNA (ENSARWG00000002943.1)". The record is from RNAcentral. Lineage: Eukaryota; Metazoa; Chordata; Aves; Apterygiformes; Apterygidae.
GGGCAUCCCAGGGUGUCCUCUCUGAUACGCUUGCCAUGUGUGCAGCCCUCUGUGUAGCCCCACACUGGGAGAAGCCCUGCUGGGAGACUGUAGUGUUGUUUUGUUUUAAACUUACCAAAAUAAAGGUACUGGCACUGGGGACCUGGCAGGGAGACCGUGAUCAGGACAGUGGUUUUCCCUGGGCAAGGUUAUCCAUUGCAUAGCUGCUGUGCCGACGCCUGUGACUGCCCCAAAUGCAGGAAACUUGAUUGCAUUAUUUACAGUAGCAGGGAUCUGUGUGCUCAAAGAAAGAACCAAAAAAGAGACGCCUAGAGAAGAGUAGGGUGUGUAUUUAUGAUACUUCUUCUAAAGAGUCUCCUAGCUUUAGCCAUUUUCAGCUCAGGAGUUUCCUGGGCCAUAUAUGGUUGCUAUGUAUCCAGCAGCCCUCAGUGAUUUGGGAGCUUUUUGGAAUUUCCCUGGACACCUGAAUUAAUCAAAAACGAUUUCUUCCAAAGUGCAUAGAUGGGUGUGUAAAUCAUCCCCAUUCUGACCUAAUGAUGAGGAAAUUGCAUUCUCCUUGCUGUCCUGUGAGAUGGUACAGCAGAAGCCAGUGCCCCAAGCCCCAGGCCUGAGCAGAAGGAGCUUCUCCUGUUAUCCCAGAUCUGAGACUCCAGGAAGAAGAAAGAACUUCUCCUUCCCAGAACAGCAUUUCUCAGCAGCACUAGUUUUAAGUAAGCAAUUUUCAGAUGAACUGGUAUUCUUCAGUGAGCCAGCAGUGCCUUAAAUGUGCUCCUUUCAGG